ACGUGCUAGAUGUCCCCCAAAAAA
Molecule: non-coding RNA, 24 nt
Filed under: Arabidopsis thaliana (thale cress)
Lineage: Eukaryota; Viridiplantae; Streptophyta; Magnoliopsida; Brassicales; Brassicaceae
Source: RNAcentral